Molecule: long non-coding RNA, 2940 nt
Organism: Sycon ciliatum
Lineage: Eukaryota; Metazoa; Porifera; Calcarea; Leucosolenida; Sycettidae
Exons: 10
Source: RefSeq, a predicted model, not a curated record
UCUCGAGCUAGCAGUCGCGUCGACAUAAUUCCUCCGUUCUGUUGUGCCGUGUGGGCAUCCCGCAAGCCAAGGCCCUGCGGCUGUGCCCCUAGCCCUGUAGCUGUUGCUCCGGGGAGUUCUGUUCCGUUGAAAGAAUUAAUUGACAUCGGGUCACUGGGCUCUAGCUCUGGCUAUACGCUAGGCCAACCAACAAUAAUACCAAGAGUAGAUCUGUUUAUCUACUCUUGAUAAUACUUACUUCACAGGACACCCGUCGGCCGCGCUUCGACGUUUCGCCAAACGUUACGUAGAUCUACUAUUUUUGAAAAUAGUUUCUGAAUAGCGCGCUCUGGCUGAGCGUGGUACAACAUACUCUGCCGACCACUAGCAAGUAGUCUGCCUCCUCGUUUGGUUUAUCAGGCCGGUUUGAGAGUCACGGCCGGUCGUGUUUGGCUAGCUGCCAUUCCUGGAAUAUUGGGAUACUAGUAGAUUGGGUCGACAGUGAGCUGUGGAAACUGCUGGACCGCGUGCAUGCCGUGCAGUGCUCCGCCGACCGUGAUGCGUAGCAGUGGAAACUAAACAUUGUGGGCUCGACUGGAAGCACUGAGCGUUUUGUGCAUAGUUCUCUCGCAGAGCACGUCCUUGCCAUUAAUUUUCUGGAGUGACAGUCGCGGAUGGGCACGAUGCGCGUGGUGCAGUCAGCUCCUAGCUUCUCGGCUAAUCGGUUGAUGCCACCCAAGAGGCAGGCGGCGUGUCAAGAAAUGCUUCACAACAGCCCCCGCAGCAUAUUAUAACUUAUAAGUUCUCUCGCAGAGCAUGUCUGUGACAUUAAUUUUCUGGAGUGACUGUCGUGGACGGGCACGAUGCACGUGGUCCAGUCAGCUCCUAGCUUCUCGGCUAAUCGGUUGAUGCUACCUGAGAGGAAUGCAGCGUGUCAAGAAACACUUCACAACGGCCCCCGCAGCAUAUUUAUAUAUGUUCUCUCGCAGAGCCCGCCCGCACGAUGCACAUGGUCCAGUCAGCAUCUCCUAGCUUCUCAGCUAAUCAAUUGACGCCGCCCGAGAGCAAGGCGGCAUGUCAAGAAAAUGCUUCACAACGGUCCAGCAGCAUAUUAUCAGUUCUCUCGCAGAGCACGUCCGUGCCAUUAAUUUUGUGGAGUGACAGUCGCGGAUGGGUCCGAUGCACGUGGUCCAGUUAUCUCCUAGCUUCUCGGCUAAUCGGUUGAUGCCACCCGACAGGCAGGCGGAGAGUCAAGAAAUGCUUCACAACGGUCCAGCAGCAUAUUAUCAGCAUCAUUCAGGCUUCAAACUGAAGCGAACUCUGAGUGGAAAAUAUGCUACUGCGUUGUGGUCCUAAUCAGUGGAAGUGGCAAGAAGACUCUGCUCAGAAGAAUGCCAAGCGGAGCAAGAGUGCGCAAAAGUGGAUGAAGACAUUAGACAGUACAGUGCUGUAGGUGACAAAGAACAGGCGUGGAAGAAAGGUGUGACGAAGGACGGUGUUCCGAAGGACGACAUGCCGAAGGAAAGCCUGUCGAAGACCGAUGCCAUGCUGAAUAAGCAGUCUGUGCGUUCCUCUGCCAUGCUUCCGGCAUGCUUCUGCUGCUCGUACCCCGUACACACCGGCAGAGAUACGGAAGGACAAGCAAGCAGGGCGUACUUGGUUUGGUCAUCUCGCACCAACCGCCAACCUUUCCGCUGACAAGAGACACAGUCCCUCCAGUCUGUGCGUUCCUGUGCCAUGCUUCCGGCAUGCUUCUGCUGCUCGUACCCCGUACACACCGGCAGAGAUACGGAAGGACAAGCAAGCAGGGCGUACUUGGUUUGGUCAUCUCGCACCAACCGCCAACCUUUCCGCUGACAAGAGACACAGUCCCUCCAGCUAAGGGACUGUAGAUUCUCAAGGUGGCAGAGAUUAGUCGUGUCUAACAAGUGGACACUGACGAUCCGGUGACGUGGCAGCUCGGUGUUAUCGAGGUUUGUCAAGUCAUGCGGAGAGGGCUACAAUGGCUGUUGCUGUUCAAUGAUUGAUGACAGACCAAAGAUAGAGAGAGAGAGAGAGCGGUGAUGCGGGUGACGAUUAGAGAACUCCAGCCACGCUCAGUGUAUGCAGCAUCACGCAUUGCCACACUGCGAUCAUGCCACGCCGUCUGCAGUGAGUGAAGACCAACCCUGUGAUACUGUGUCUACAGUGUAGACUAACCAUGCGAUGCUGCGUCUACAGUACAAGCCUAAGUUAGUGUGCUGUGCCUACAGCCUAGUCCAGUCCUGCAAUACUGCACCUACAGGACAGGUCAAUCCUGCAGUGCUGUGCCCACCGUGCGGACCAGUCAUGCAAUGCUGGGUCUACAGUUCAAUGUGGACCAGUCAUGCAAUGCUGCGUCUACAGUGCAAUGUGGACCAGUCAAGCAAUGCUGCAUCUACACUACAGUGCAAUGUGGACCAGUCAUGCAGUGCUGUGCCUACGGUGUGGACCAGUCAUGCAAUGCUGGGUCUACAGUGCAAUGUGGACCAGUCAUGCAAUGCUGGGUCUACAGUGCAAUGUGGACCAGUCAUGCAAUGCUGAAUCUACACUACAGUGCAAUGUGGACUAGUCAUGCAGUGCUGUGCCUGCAGACUGCAAUGCAGAAGUAGACAGGCAGAGGCUGGACAUGCAGCGCAGCCUUCAUCUGCAACCGUGAGGCCAAUGUACAGUGAGUUGUGUUGGGUCAGCGAAUUUCCAAGCUUCGCGCUGUAUGAUUACAUUGCUCAGUGGUCCGCAGUCGGGGGCCGUCCUUCGACUUGCGUGGUCCACGGUCACUGCCAAUGUCGUUUUACGAUUCCGCUUACACCUGCUUUCCAUCCUGCUUGUUCUCGCUUGGCUUGUUCUGUUGUUUAAGGCUAGCAUACAAACUCGAUCGCUGUUACCCAUGCAGAUUCUUUCCAUUCUCUUCUUCGUGCAUGCUACAAGUACGUGUAACUUGGU